UCGUUAAGUCAGCUGUGAAAGUUUGGGGCUCAACCUUAAAAUUGCAGUUGAUACUGGCGUCCUUGAGUGCGGUUGAGGUGUGCGGAAUUCGUGGUGUAGCGGUGAAAUGCUUAGAUAUCACGAAGAACUCCGAUUGCGAAGGCAGCACACUAAUCCGUAACUGACGUUCAUGCUCGAAAGUGUGGGUAUCAAACAGGAUUAGAUACCCUGGUAGUCCACACGGUAAACGAUGGAUACUCGCUGUUGGCGAUAUACUGUCAGCGGCUUAGCGAAAGCGUUAAGUAUCCCACCUGGGGAGUACGCCGGCAACGGU
Molecule: ribosomal RNA, 313 nt
Filed under: uncultured Bacteroidota bacterium
Lineage: Bacteria; Pseudomonadati; Bacteroidota
Description: bacterial SSU rRNA
Rfam family: Bacterial small subunit ribosomal RNA
Source: RNAcentral